CCCCCGUUCCCCCCCCCCAGGCUGUUCGAGCACGUGGACGAGGCGCUGCUUUCCCGCUCGCCGUUCCCGGAGCUGCGGGCGCUGCUGGACAACUACGAGGCGCCGUGCGGGGUCGCGGAGGCGGUGACGGCGGAGGAGGAGCGCGAGGAGGAGCGGUUCCUCGACGCCGUGCUCGGCACCGACGUCAUGGGAGCGCUCCUCGACAGCGGGCUGUGGCGUUCCCGCAGCGCGCUCCGGGAGGCGCUGAAGCUGAUGUGGUUCGGCCGCUACUCGCGCUCCGGCGGCGCCGCGCUCGACUCGUCCGGAUUCGAGCACGUGUUCGUCGGUAACGAGACCGGGACCGGGACGGGGGCACAUGGGGACAUGGGGACAUGGGGACAGAGGGGGACGUGGGGACAUGAGGGGAUAUGGACACACAUGGGGAUGGGUGGGACAUGGAGACAUGAGGACACGGGGACACAUGGGGACAGCUGGGGACACGAGGACAUCUGGACACAUGGGGACACGUGGGGACAAAUGGGGACAUGGGGACACGUGGGGAGAUAUGGGGACACAUGGGGACAUGUGGGAACAUCUGAAGACAUGGGGACACAUGGGGGUGUGGGGAUGUGGGGACACAUGGGGACAUGGAGACAUGAGGACAUGAGGACACGGGGACACAUGGGGCCACGAGGACAUCUGAACAUGUGGGGGCACAUGGGGACAUGGGGACACAUGGGAGCGUGGGGAUGUGGGGACCCAUGGGGACAUGGGGACACGUGGGGGCGUAUGGGGACAUCUGAAGACAUGGGGACACUUGGGGAUGUAUGGGGAUAUAUGGGGACAUGGGGAUGUAGGGACAUGUGGGACACGAGGUCAUGGGGACAUGUGGGGAAAAAAGGGACGUGUGGGGAUGUGGGGACACAUGGGGACAUGGACACGUAUGGGGACACAUGGGGAUGUGUGGGGACGUGGGGAUGGAUGGGGACAUGACAGCAUGAGGACAUGGGGACACGUGGGGACACAGGGGGACAUGGGGACACGUGGGGACACAGGGGGACAUGGGGAC
This 1048-nucleotide long non-coding RNA is filed under the name Numida meleagris (helmeted guineafowl). RNAcentral's name for it is "lncRNA (ENSNMEG00000002903.1)". Lineage: Eukaryota; Metazoa; Chordata; Aves; Galliformes; Numididae. The record is from RNAcentral.